RNAcentral lists this ribosomal RNA (423 nucleotides) under Triticum aestivum (bread wheat). Its description in RNAcentral is "partial small subunit ribosomal RNA". Lineage: Eukaryota; Viridiplantae; Streptophyta; Magnoliopsida; Poales; Poaceae. The record is from RNAcentral.
AUGGCUCAUAGUGAUGUUCCCAUUGAUAACAAAAAGUUGUGGAAGCUAAAAAUACCUUUAACUGUGAAGAUAUUCGUCUGGUUUUUAAGCAGAGGAGUCAUCUUAACUUGAGAUCACCUGGCACGACGUAACUGGCAAGGUAGUAAGACAUGUGUCUUUUGCCAACAUGACGAGUCUAUUAAACAUUUAUUUCUUGAGUGUAAGUUCGCUCGUGCAGUAUGGGCCAUAGUUCAAGUAGUUUCAACUCUAUACCCUCCAUGUAGUGCACGUAAUAUUUUCGGCAAUUUGUUGCGGGGUAUCGAUAAACAAUUUUCUGGCCAUAUUUUUGUGGGGGUGUGUCAUGGUUUUGUCAUAGCAGAUGUCCUCGGGAAAGGACAAAGUCUGGAGGCCAUCGCAACUAGGAGGUCGCUUGAGAGGGGUUGA